AGUCUGGUGCCAGCAGCCGCGGUAAUUCCAGCUCCAAUAGCGUAUAUUAAAGUUGUUGCAGUUAAAAAGCUCGUAGUUGAAUUUCGGGAUCAAUUUAUCGGUCGUGCCAAUGGUAUGAACUGGUACAAUUGGUUUCUCCCUUCUGACGAAGCAUGAUGUCAUUAAUUUGGUGUCGUGGGGAAUCAGGACUGUUACUUUGAAAAAAUUAGAGUGUUUAAAGCAAGCAUUAGCUUGAAUACAUUAGCAUGGAAUAAUGAAAUAGGACGUUUGAUCCUAUUUCGUUGGUUUCUAGGAUCGACGUAAUGAUUAAUAGGGAUAGUUGGGGGCAUUAGUAUUCAAUUGUCAGAGGUGAAAUUCUUGGAUUUAUUGAAGACUAACUACUGCGAAAGCAUUUGCCAAGGAUGUUUUCAUUAAUCAAGAACGAAAGUUAGGGGAUCGAAGACGAUCAGAUACCGUCGUAGUCUUAACCAUAAACUAUGCCGACUAGGGAUCGGAUGAUGUUAAUUUUUUAAUGACUCAUUCGGCGCCUUACGGGAAACCAAAGUGUUUGGGUUCCGGGGGGAGUAUGGUCGCAAGGCUGAAACUUAAAGGAAUUGACGGAAGGGCACCACCAGGGGUGGAGCCUGCGGCUUAAUUUGACCCAACACGGGGAAACUCACCAGGUCCAGACAUAGUAAGGAUUGACAGAUUGAGAGCUCUUUCUUGAUUCUAUGGGUGGUGGUGCAUGGCCGUUCUUAGUUGGUGGAGUGAUUUGUCUGGUUAAUUCCGAUAACGAACGAGACCUUAACCUGCUAAAUAGCUAGGCUUAGCAUUGCUAGGUCGUCAGCUUCUUAGAGGGACUAUCGGUGUUUAACCGAUGGAAGUUUGAGGCAAUAACAGGUCUGUGAUGCCCUUAGAUGUUCUGGGCCGCACGCGCGCUACACUGGUGAAGUCAACGAGUUCACUCCCUUUGUCGGAAGACAUGGGUAAUCUUUUGAAACUUCAUCGUGCUGGGGAUAGAGCAUUGCAAUUAUUGCUCUUAAACGAGGAAUCCCUAGUAAGUACAAGUCAUCAGCUUGUGCUGAUUACGUCCCUGCCCUUUGUACACACCGCCCGUCGCUACUACCGAUUGAAUGGCUUAGUGAGGACUUCGGAUUGAGCUUCGGAAGCUGUAAAAGGCAUCCGAUUUUUAAAAAGUUGUUCAAACUUGGUCAUUUAGAGGAAGUAAAAGUC
RNAcentral lists this ribosomal RNA (1212 nucleotides) under metagenome. RNAcentral's name for it is "SSU rRNA". It matches the Rfam family "Eukaryotic small subunit ribosomal RNA", at positions 558 to 1790 of the family's 1831-position model. The record is from RNAcentral.